GCCAGACUCCUACGGGAGGCAGCAGUGGGGAAUAUUGGACAAUGGGGGGAACCCUGAUCCAGCGACGCCGCGUGAGUGAAGAAGUAUUUCGGUAUGUAAAGCUCUAUCAGCAGGGAAGAAGCAAGACGGUACCUGACUAAGAAGCCCCGGCUAACUACGUGCCAGCAGCCGCGGUAAUACGUAGGGGGCGAGCGUUAUCCGGAUUCACUGGGUGUAAAGGGAGCGUAGACGGCCAUGCAAGCCAGGGGUGAAAGCCCGGGGCCCAACCCCGGGACUGCCCUUGGAACUGCAUGGCUGGAGUGCGGGAGGGGCAGGCGGAAUUCCUGGUGUAGCGGUGAAAUGCGUAGAUAUCAGGAGGAACACCGGCGGCGAAGGCGGCCUGCUGGACUGCGACUGACGUUGAGGCUCGAAAGCGUGGGGAGCGAACAGGAUUAGAUACCCCCGUAC
RNAcentral lists this ribosomal RNA (447 nucleotides) under uncultured bacterium. RNAcentral describes it as "bacterial SSU rRNA". It matches the Rfam family "Bacterial small subunit ribosomal RNA", at positions 330 to 793 of the family's 1533-position model. The record is from RNAcentral.